GGCCUCCUUCUGUGGGGCAAUUGAUCCCGGGGCACCCAGAUCGAUUGUCCCACAGAGGGAGGCC
This 64-nucleotide microRNA precursor is filed under the name Myotis lucifugus (little brown bat). Its description in RNAcentral is "mir-9242 microRNA precursor family". It matches the Rfam family "mir-9242 microRNA precursor family". The record is from Rfam by way of RNAcentral. Lineage: Eukaryota; Metazoa; Chordata; Mammalia; Chiroptera; Vespertilionidae.